This 214-nucleotide ribosomal RNA is filed under the name uncultured bacterium. Its description in RNAcentral is "partial 16S ribosomal RNA". It matches the Rfam family "Bacterial small subunit ribosomal RNA", at positions 524 to 727 of the family's 1533-position model. The record is from RNAcentral.
UACAGAGGUCCCGAGCGUUGUUCGGAUUCAUUGGGCGUAAAGGGUGCGUAGGCGGUCUGCUAAGUUUGAUGUGAAAUACCCGGGGCCUCAACCCUGGAAUGGCAUUGAAUACUGGUGGACUAGAGUACCGGAGAGGAAACUGGAAUUUCACGGUGUAGGCAGUAGAAAUGCGUAGAGAGUCGAUAAGGAAGACCAGGUGGACGGAAGGCGAGUU